CUUUGUUCCAGCUUUGGGGUCUUUGAAACUUUUGCCUGUCUGACUCUCCAUCUGUGUUUCAGGUCAGGCCUUGGGGAAGGCUGAGGAAAGGCCAGCUCCUGGCACAGCCUGAUGCUGAGGCAGCUGUUUCUGACCAGGUCAAAGGCUCAGGAUGUGGCCCUUAAGAAGGAAUGAUGUGCUCCCCACGCUGCCCUGAUAUUUACUUUGACCUAGUCCAUGACCCUCCCUUCCUACUUGAGAAAACCAGCCUGCUGAGUCCUGGAGGCCCACAAAGGGGAAGUGCCAGAGGUGCUGGAACCCAAGUCUCUGACACCCUGUGCAGUUCUCAUCAUGCAGCUGAAGCCACGUGUCCCUUGGCGGUUAUUUGAUGAGCUAACUAUUCGGCUGUGGAAGUCUGACAGUUCCAUGGAGGCCCAAACACACUCCUGUGAGAUGUUGGGGUGCUAGAAGGAAUAACUUCUUGGGAGGCAAGACCCUUGGCCUGCAUCUCAGGUCUGCUAAGCCACCGUGUGAUGCUGAGUGAGCAGCUUGCCCUCUCUGGGCCGUAGCACCAGAGUUGUACUGUGAGUUGUCUGACUCUGGGAUCUCUCAAGGCCUCUUCAGGGACUCCUGCUCUGGGCAAUGUCAAGAUCUUCCCCAAGGCUCAAAGGAGAAGCUUUAGGUGGCAGACGUGAGUAUGCUGAGUAGGACUGGGGCCCACGGCCCUGCGGAGGAUGGUCCGCAGCAGCCCCUUCUCCUCCCUGCCGCCCUGGUGUUGGAGGCCCUGGAGCGAGCAUGGCGACAUCGGGCUGCCUGCUGCCCCCUGGCUGGCACAGUGGCCCACCUCUUUCCUUCUUCAUCCCUCUGUUCUUCCUGGGGAUCCCCUGGUGACGAAUGCUCGCUGUCUCUUCUGGAUGGGAAGUGGGCAUGAAACAUCUCCCACGGUUCAUGGGCGCUGGCCCUCGGACGUGGCAGAGUCCCACCCGUUCUUGGGCCCAACCUGGGCAGGUACGCAGUGGCAGAGAGGAAGGAGUGACGGCCUGCUCUCAGGAGCACUAGUCUGGCGGGGGAGGCAGCAGUACCAUUACCAUGGUUGUGAAUCCUCGUCCACUCACUUAACUGGCUUAGGCAUGUCACCUGUCCCUCUUUCCUAGCGCUCACGGCCGCCUCUACAGCCCAUCCUGGGGGGCGGGAAGGAGCCCCUCACCUCAGUUCUCCCAGGUUGUCCUUCUCCCUUCCAGAUGUGGGCACAGUCCAGCGUGCCCAGACAUCAGAGGGAGGACCCUCUGCUCAUCACCCCCGGUCCUCAGGACCUGCCACUUGCCCUGCCUGCGUGGCCCCAUCCACAGAAGGGUGCAGCCACCUUCCAGCACCAUCUAGGGCACGGGCUCCUUUCUGGGGCUGCCCAUGGUCCAUGACCCCCAUGAGGCCUGGUGGAGCCCUUGCUCUGGGCUCUUACUUGUUCCCUGGGGGCAGCACCAGGAAGCCGUGGGCAGGGCCCCUCUCCUUGAGGAACAGCUCUCAUUGCUUUCCUCCCUCCAGCUUGGGGAAAUCUCUUUUUGGUUUGGGGAGAAAUCCUUCCCCAUUCACGAUUCUUCCGAGAUCCCUUCCUUCCUGCUGAGAACUUGGUUCUCCCUCUUUCUUUCUCUGCAAAUCCUCCAUAUUCUUCUAACAGAUUUAUACUUUGUGGAAGCAAAAGCCAGGGUGUCCUUCAGGCAACUUCUGCUUUCUGCUGUGCAGCAAUCCACUUGUGAAGCAAGGAUACACAGAGACCAGGGACAGGAAAAGGAAAGCAGAAAAUUCAGAAAGGAGAAGGCUCCAUGAGUGCGUAUUUUAAAAUAGUGCUCAGGUACACCAUUUGGUGGAAACAUACAUGAACAUGAGUGCCUGCGACAGGCUCACGACUAAGGUCCCCAUGAAACAAAUGGGCUCAGACAAGGGCUAGAUUCUGCUGCGCUGGCUCAGGCCCUGGGGUGAGGACAGGGCAGGACAGGUCCUUGGCUGCAUAACUGGGAGCCAUCCAUGAUGGCAAAACAGCAUUAAACCACACUUGGACCAAGAGGGAUGUCUAUCAGAAACAUCAGUCGUGAGGUGCUAUGCAGAGGGAGGGCAGCCAGGUCCUCGGCUGCAAGCAGGAAGUGGAAACCUAGCCUGAGAUUCAGAAGAGGCAAAGAUCUUGGGCUUGGGGAGUGGCCCUAAGUGGGGCAUGGUUUUGUGGUUCAAGCUGAGGAGUUCAAACCUGGUCCUUAAGCCAUAGGGAGCCAUGGAAGGUUUUUGAGCAGAGGAGUGGGAGAUGAGAGAACUGGAAAGGUCCUGAGUCAGUUUGAAGAGACGAGAGGAAUAGAUAAUCACUGAGCUGGAGGGUAUUUGGAAGACUUCUGGAAGGACUCAUUCAUUCAUUCACUCAACGAAUACUUAUCUUGCACCUUUCACGUGCC
This 2417-nucleotide long non-coding RNA is filed under the name Equus caballus (horse). Its description in RNAcentral is "lncRNA (ENSECAG00000045294.1)". Lineage: Eukaryota; Metazoa; Chordata; Mammalia; Perissodactyla; Equidae. The record is from RNAcentral.